This 74-nucleotide transfer RNA is filed under the name Paenibacillus pabuli. Its description in RNAcentral is "tRNA-Pro". It matches the Rfam family "tRNA". From Rfam's summary of the family: Transfer RNA (tRNA) molecules are approximately 80 nucleotides in length. Their secondary structure includes four short double-helical elements and three loops (D, anti-codon, and T loops). Further hydrogen bonds mediate the characteristic L-shaped molecular structure. tRNAs have two regions of fundamental functional importance: the anti-codon, which is responsible for specific mRNA codon recognition, and the 3' end, to which the tRNAs corresponding amino acid is attached (by aminoacyl-tRNA synthetases). tRNAs cope with the degeneracy of the genetic code in two manners: having more than one tRNA (with a specific anti-codon) for a particular amino acid; and 'wobble' base-pairing, i.e. permitting non-standard base-pairing at the 3rd anti-codon position. The record is from RNAcentral. Lineage: Bacteria; Bacillati; Bacillota; Bacilli; Caryophanales; Paenibacillaceae. RNAcentral also lists the same sequence under 18 other names.
CGGGGUAUAGCGCAGCCUGGUAGCGCGCACCCUUGGGGUGGGUGAGGUCGUGGGUUCAAAUCCCGCUACUCCGA